This 496-nucleotide ribosomal RNA is filed under the name uncultured bacterium. Its description in RNAcentral is "partial 16S ribosomal RNA". It matches the Rfam family "Bacterial small subunit ribosomal RNA", at positions 28 to 506 of the family's 1533-position model. The record is from RNAcentral.
GAUGAACGCUGGCGGCGUGCCUAAUACAUGCAAGUCGAGCGAACAGACGAGGAGCUUGCUCCUCUGACGUUAGCGGCGGACGGGUGAGUAACACGUGGAUAACCUACCUAUAAGACUGGGAUAACUUCGGGAAACCGGAGCUAAUACCGGAUAAUAUAUUGAACCGCAUGGUUCAAUAGUGAAAGACGGUUUUGCUGUCACUUAUAGAUGGAUCCGCGCCGCAUUAGCUAGUUGGUAAGGUAACGGCUUACCAAGGCAGCGAUGCGUAGCCGACCUGAGAGGGUGAUCGGCCACACUGGAACUGAGACACGGUCCAGACUCCUACGGGAGGCAGCAGUAGGGAAUCUUCCGCAAUGGGCGAAAGCCUGACGGAGCAACGCCGCGUGAGUGAUGAAGGUCUUCGGAUCGUAAAACGCUGUUAUUAGGGAAGAACAAAUGUGUAAGUAACUAUGCACGUCUUGACGGGACCUAAUCAGAAAGCCACGGCUAACUACGG